This 253-nucleotide ribosomal RNA is filed under the name uncultured bacterium. RNAcentral describes it as "partial 16S ribosomal RNA". It matches the Rfam family "Bacterial small subunit ribosomal RNA", at positions 524 to 776 of the family's 1533-position model. The record is from RNAcentral.
UACGUAGGUGGCGAGCGUUGUCCGGAAUUACUGGGUGUAAAGCGCGUGUAGGCGGGAGGCCAAGUCUGUGGUGAAGUCGCCUGGCUUAACUGGGCGGGGUCCAUGGAAACUGGUCACCUGGAGGUCGGUAGAGGCAAGUGGAAUUCCCGGUGUAGUGGUGAAAUGCGUAGAGAUCGGGAGGAACACCAGUGGCGAAGGCGGCUUGCUGGGCCGGACCUGACGCUGAGACGCGAAGGCGUGGGGAGCGAACGGG